Molecule: transfer RNA, 73 nt
Filed under: Marmota monax (woodchuck)
Lineage: Eukaryota; Metazoa; Chordata; Mammalia; Rodentia; Sciuridae
Rfam family: tRNA
About the family: Transfer RNA (tRNA) molecules are approximately 80 nucleotides in length. Their secondary structure includes four short double-helical elements and three loops (D, anti-codon, and T loops).
Source: Rfam by way of RNAcentral
UGGGGUGUAGCUUAAGUGGUAAAGCACUUGCCUAGCAUGCAUGAGGCCCUGGGUUCAAUCCUCAGCACCCCAA